AUACGUAGGGUGCAAGCGUUAAUCGGAAUUACUGGGCGUAAAGCGUGCGCAGGCGGUUCGGAAAGAAAGAUGUGAAAUCCCAGAGCUUAACUUUGGAAUGGCUAUUUUUAACUACCGGGCUAGAGUAUGUCAGAGGGGGGUAGAAUUCCACGUGUAGCAGUGAAAUGCGUAGAGAUGUGGAGGAAUACCGAUGGCGAAGGCAGCCCCCUGGGAUAAUACUGACGCUCAUGCACGAAAGCGUGGGGAGC
This 248-nucleotide ribosomal RNA is filed under the name uncultured bacterium. RNAcentral describes it as "partial 16S ribosomal RNA". It matches the Rfam family "Bacterial small subunit ribosomal RNA", at positions 523 to 769 of the family's 1533-position model. The record is from RNAcentral.